CAGGAGUAAAUGCCAUGCUUGCUAUGCUUACUAUUGUGAUAGCACCAUGAGCUUCUAUAUAUAAAGUUAUCACUUACUGUGUCAACAGCAACUGAACUGCACAUAAUAAGUCAGCUGGAACAUCUUAAAGAAGAGGUGGCUGUUGUCAAGCAGCUGUUAUUAUCACUGACAAAUUGCACCUCUCCAGCUGCAGUCCUGCCAGAGGGCAUAUGUUUUCCACUGAACAACUUGCAGGACCUAGAAAUGGUGGAAAAUAGGCUUAAGGAGGAGGCCUGCUACAGGGAAAUGGUAAAGUAUCUGGCAACAAUUGGGGGUCCCAACCCAUCUGCCAACACAAGACGCAUCCUUGUGCAUAUGCUAACUACUCCACUGGCGCAGCAGUUGUGCUGGCAGGGCUCUGGCCAGAAGAUGGCCUUUGGGGAGAUGCUGGUCUGCAGAGCAGUCAUCAGUGUAUCCAAUGUGCCCACAGUAUACCCCAAAGUAUGCCCAAUGUGCCUACAGUACACCCCACAGUGUGCCCAAUGUGCCCACAGGGGAGCAUCCAGCAGGCCAAAAAAUGCAGGGCAUGUAUGUGUAGGUAACUGAUCAGCUAUACUGAU
This is a non-coding RNA of Paramormyrops kingsleyae, 599 nucleotides long. The record is from RefSeq and is a predicted model, not a curated record. Lineage: Eukaryota; Metazoa; Chordata; Actinopteri; Osteoglossiformes; Mormyridae.